RNAcentral lists this long non-coding RNA (1334 nucleotides) under Bemisia tabaci. RNAcentral's name for it is "lncRNA ENSASIAIIG004325". Lineage: Eukaryota; Metazoa; Arthropoda; Insecta; Hemiptera; Aleyrodidae. The record is from RNAcentral.
GGCAAGGUCUGAACGAGGAGAAAAUGUCACAUGAUUCCUCUUCAAAAUCUCACCUAGAAAAUGAAUCACACAACUGUAACCUCGGAAAUUAAGGUGAUUCGAUGGACACCAUAUUUUGUGUCAGAACGGCAUGCGAUAUAUCGCAUCAACUGGCUCCAUUUUUUCAGCUACUCGUCAUUUUUCUCCUGUUUUGAAAUCGCAAUUCUGUUGUCAGGAGUCUAAAGCACUUACUUACCAAUUUUAACAAAGAAAUUCAACCUAAUAAAGGCGUGGUUUUUUCAGAGAGAAAACAUCGCAUUCGAGUGCAGUUUCGAUAUCAGUAUCGAAUGCGAUAUUUUCUCUCUGAAAAAACCACGCCUUUAUUAGGUUGAAUUUCUUUGAUAAAAUUGGUAAGUGAGUGCUUUAGUCUCCUGACAACAGAAUUGCGAUUUCAAAAUAGGAGAAAAAUGUCGAGUAGCUGAAAAUAUGGAACCAAUUGACGCGAUAUAUUGCAUGCCGUUCUGACACAAAAUAUGGCGUCCAUCGAAUCACCUUAACUCCUGAACAAGAUGUAAACCAAAGUUUUUAACACAGAUCAAAUCGAAGUUAGAUCAUACACUAAUGACAUUAGUUGUAUUUAUGCCAUUUAACUUAUGUUAAUUCUAGACACCUAUAUAUUGUUUAAAGGUUGAUGUCCAAUCUUCCUUCCCAUUGUGUGAUUCGCUUUCCUUGUGAAAUUUUUGAGAGGGAACAAGUUACGCAGUGCUUUAACUCAUACCUUAUCUAGUGCACUAGCUCGACAACAAGAAGCUUCUGAGGUAAAAUAACACAUCCUCAUUUCUUGUUUCUAUUGUUAUUUUUUCAUGAGUUUCUUUCCAAGGGGCACACAAUCAUGUUCUCAAAACAGAAGUUUAAAAAACCUAUAUUUCAUUACCAUAAACGUAUGACAUGCUACAAAAGUCAACAAUAAAAUUAAAGACAGGAGAAAUGAGCGGAGUAGAAAAAGAAAAAGGAGUAAUGUCGGAAAUUGACAAAAAUUUAUUAUAUAGAAAAAUAAGUAAAGAAGUACUUAAACUAGUUGCGUGGACCACCAUUAGAUGCACCUUCGGUCUUCCCCCGACGGAAAGCUGGGACCCAUUUUUCCGAAGAUAUUUUAACAUCCUUAUUUUCCUUGCCGGGAGGAGGCGGUUCUGGUCUAUUUUCUCUGGGUUCUGGUCUGGCAGGUUCAGGUGGCCCUGUUUUCCGCUGCGGUGGACGGUACACCUGUUUCGGAGGUGGAUCUUGCCUGGGUCCUGAAAAAUAAAACAUUCUUGUUUAGAUUUAUAGUCAUAGAAAAGAAUUGAAAACAAAAAAAU